UAGGCUCUCCAUCACCAAAAUGGCUUUUGGUUUGCCUGCACUUAUGGAGAUUAAUUAUAAUUUUGUCUACAAGGCAAACAAUUGUAAGUAAAGGUAAAUAUUGUUAAUUUUUCUUAAAAUUGAUGAGGGAUAUUAAAGGAAAAAUGAAAUAAAAAAUGUGAGAUGGCAUGAUAUUAAAAAGUUUUUUUAAACUAUGUGAAAAAAUGUAAGGUGAAAUCUUUUUAGGACCAAGGGUAUAAUAUAUUAUGUAUAGGUAGGUAAAAGAAAAUGAACAUAGUAAUCAAAUAUGAAGAAAGCACAUAAAUCUAACAUAUUUUAUUAUAAUUAUUAACUUUGGUUGUU
RNAcentral lists this unclassified non-coding RNA (342 nucleotides) under Hevea brasiliensis (rubber tree). Lineage: Eukaryota; Viridiplantae; Streptophyta; Magnoliopsida; Malpighiales; Euphorbiaceae. The record is from RNAcentral.